This 427-nucleotide ribosomal RNA is filed under the name uncultured bacterium. RNAcentral's name for it is "partial 16S ribosomal RNA". It matches the Rfam family "Bacterial small subunit ribosomal RNA", at positions 355 to 774 of the family's 1533-position model. The record is from RNAcentral.
UGGGGAAUAUUGCACAAUGGGCGCAAGCCUGAUGCAGCCAUGCCGCGUGUAUGAAGAAGGCCUUCGGGUUGUAAAGUACUUUCAGCGGGGAGGAAGGUGUUGUGGUUAAUAACCACAGCAAUUGACGUUACCCGCAGAAGAAGCACCGGCUAACUCCGUGCCAGCAGCCGCGGUAAUACGGAGGGUGCAAGCGUUAAUCGGAAUUACUGGGCGUAAAGCGCACGCAGGCGGUCUGUUAAGUCGGAUGUGAAAUCCCCGGGCUCAACCUGGGAACUGCAUCCGAAACUGGCAGGCUUGAGUCUUGUAGAGGGGGGUAGAAUUCCAGGUGUAGCGGUGAAAUGCGUAGAGAUCUGGAGGAAUACCGGUGGCGAAGGCGGCCCCCUGGACAAAGACUGACGCUCAGGUGCGAAAGCGUGGGGAGCAAACA